AGUGAACGCUGGCGGUAGGCCUAACACAUGCAAGUCGAACGGCAGCACAGUAAGAGCUUGCUCUUACGGGUGGCGAGUGGCGUACGGGUGAGGAAUACAUCGGAAUCUACUUUUUCGUGGGGGAUAACGUAGGGAAACUUACGCUAAUACCGCAUACGACCUACGGUUGAAAGCAGGGGAUCUUCGGACCUUGCGCGUUUGAAUGAGCCGAUGUCGGAUUAGCUAGUUGGCGGGGUAAAGGCCCACCAAGGCGACGAUCCGUAGCUGGUCUGAGAGGAUGAUCAGCCACACUGGAACUGAGACACGGACCAGACUCCUAAGGGAGGCAGCAGUGGGGAAUAUUGGACAAUGGGCGAAAGCAUGAUCCAGCCAUACCGCGUGGGUGAAGAAGGACUUCGGGUUGUAAAGCCCUUUUGUUGGGAAAGAAAAGCAGCAGGUUAAUACCCCGCUGUUCUGACGGUACCCAAAGAAUAAGCACCGGCUAACUUCGUG
This 492-nucleotide ribosomal RNA is filed under the name uncultured bacterium. Its description in RNAcentral is "partial 16S ribosomal RNA". It matches the Rfam family "Bacterial small subunit ribosomal RNA", at positions 29 to 507 of the family's 1533-position model. The record is from RNAcentral.